Small nuclear RNA from Carassius auratus (goldfish), 230 nucleotides. Its record names the gene U2. It matches the Rfam family "U2 spliceosomal RNA". Rfam says of the family: U2 is a small nuclear RNA (snRNA) component of the spliceosome (involved in pre-mRNA splicing). Complementary binding between U2 snRNA (in an area lying towards the 5' end but 3' to hairpin I) and the branchpoint sequence (BPS) of the intron results the bulging out of an unpaired adenosine, on the BPS, which initiates a nucleophilic attack at the intronic 5' splice site, thus starting the first of two transesterification reactions that mediate splicing. The record is from Ensembl. Lineage: Eukaryota; Metazoa; Chordata; Actinopteri; Cypriniformes; Cyprinidae.
AUCGCUUCUCGGCCUUUUGGCUAAGAUCAAGUGUAGUAUCUGUUCUUACCAGAUGGACACUUCAAGAGAAGAGAUUCGGUUGCCGACCACGAUGGUGCGGCUGAAAAAUACUGUCAGAGUUCAAGUGAAGAAGGAAGCUGAAAUGGAGAUUAAGAAGAGGUUUGGACGGGAUUUCGUCGUUGUCGAGGUGUUAAGAGGAGUUUUUGGAAUUCCUGCGUCCCUGAUCUUUU